GCUGGCAGCUAGCUCUCUGCAACUCUCACAUGGUCACCCACUGAAGCUAAGCAGGGCUGCGCCUGGUCAGAACCUGGAUGGGAGACCACAUGGGAAAGCUAGGUUGCUGUCGAAA
This is a non-coding RNA of Danio rerio (zebrafish), 115 nucleotides long. The record is from Rfam. Lineage: Eukaryota; Metazoa; Chordata; Actinopteri; Cypriniformes; Danionidae.